UCUGGAUCUCCUGACCUCGUGAUCCGCCUCGGCCUCCCAAACUGCUGGGAUUACAGGCGUGAGCCACCACCCCCGGCCGCAGAAAUAUUUUAAUGCCAUUUUAGAAGAUCAUCAAAACAGAAGACUAACAAGGAUAUUUAGGACCUGAACUCAGCUCUGAAUCAAGUGGACCUGAUAGAUAUCCACAAAACUCUCCACCCCACAAACAACAGAAUAUACAUUCUUCUAAUCACCACAUGACACUCAGAAAUUGGUCACACAAUCAGAAGUAAAACACUCUUCAGCAAAUGCAAAAGAACUGAAAUGAUAGCAAACAAUCUCUAAGACCACAGCACAAUCAAAUUAGAACUCAAGAUCUUAAAAAUUCACUCAAAACUACACAACUACAUGGAAAUUGAACAAACUGCUCCUGAAUGACUCCUUGGUUAAUACUGAAAUUAAGGCAGAAAUCAAGAAAUUCCUUGAAACCAAUGAGAACAAAGAGAUAACAUAACAGAAUCUCUGGGGUGCAGCUCAGCAGUAUUAAGAGGAAAAUGUAUAGCCCUAAAUGUCCACAUCAAAAAGCUAAGAUGAUCUCAAAUUAACAGCCUAACGUCACAACUAAAAGAACUAGAAAACCAAGAGCAAACAAACCCUAAAGCUACCAGAAGACCAGAAAUAACCAAAAUCAGAGUGGAACUGAAGAAGAUAGAGACACACAAAAACUCUUCAAAACUUAAAAAAUCCAGGAGCUGUUUUAUAUUUUUGAAAAAAAAAAUUAAUAAAAUAGUUACACCACUAGCUAGACUAACAAAGAAGAAAGGAGAGAAGAAUCAAACAUGCUCAGAAAUGAUAAAGGGAAUUUCACCACUGACCUCACAGAAAUACAAACAACCAUCAGAGAAUACUAUAAAUAUCCAUAUGCACAUAAACUAGAAAAUCUAGAAUAAAUGAAUAAAGUCCUGGACACAUACACCCUCCCAAGACUGAAACAGGAAGGAAUUGUAUCACUGAAUAGACUAAUAAAAUUUUCUAAAAUCAAGGCAGUAACAAAUAGUCUACCAAGCAAAAAUAGCCCAGGACCAGACAGGUUUACAAAUGAAUUAUACCAGAGGUACAAAGAAGAGCUGAUACAAUUUUUACAAAAAUUAUUCCAAAAAAUUGAAAUUUUUUCCUUAAUUCCUUUAUGAAUCCAGCAUCAUUCUGCUAUAAAAACCUGGCAGAUAUAAAACAAAAGAAGAAAACUUCAGGGCAAUAUGCGUGAUGAACAUAAAUGCAAAAAUUCUCAAUAAAAUAUUGGAGAUCUAAGUCCAAAAGCACACCAAAAAGCUUAUACGCCAUGAUCAAGUUGGCUUCAUCCCUGGGAUGCAAGAUUGGUUUAACAUACACAAAUCAAUAAAUGUGAUUCAUCACAUAAACACAAAUAAAGAUGAAAACCACAUGAUUAUUUCAAGAGAUGUAGAAAAGGCCUUUGAUAAAAUUAAACAACUCUUCAUGUUAAAAACUCUCAAUAAACUAGUUAUUGAAGGAAUAUAACUCCGAAUAAUAAGAGCUGUAUAUGACAAACCCAAAACCAAUAACAUACUGAAUGGGCAAAAGCUGGAAGCAUUCCCCCUUGAAAACCAGCACAAACAAGGAUGAUCUCUCUCACUACUCUUAUUCAACAUAAUAUUGGAAUUUCUAGUGAGGGAAUUAGGCAAGAGAAAAAAAUGUAUUCAAAUAGAGAGGAAGUCAAGUUAACUUUAUUUAAAUAUGUCACGAUUCUAUGUCUAGAAAAUUCCAUCAUUUCAGCCCCAAAGCUUCUAAAGCUCAUAAGCAACUUCAGCAAAGUCUCAAGAUAUAAAAAUGUAUGUGCAGAAAUAACUAGCAUUCCUAUACACUAACAACAGGCAAGCAGAGAGCCAAAUCAUGAAUGAACUCUCAUUCACAAUUGUUACAAAAAGAGUAAGAUUCCUAGGAAUACAGCUAACAAGGGAAGUGAAGUACUUUUUCAAGGAAAUUACAAAUCACUGCUCAAGAAAAUCAGAGAAGACACAAACAAAUUUUUAAAAAGCCCACGCUCAAAAAUAGGAAGAAUCAGUAUUGUUAAAAUGUCGUACUGCCUAAAGUAAUUUAUAAUUCAAUGCUAUUCUCAUUAAACUACCAUUGACAAUCUUCACAGAAUUAUAAAAAAAAAACUAUUUUAAAAUUUACAUGGAACCAAAAAGGAGCUUGAAUAUCCAAGAGAGUCCUAAACAAAAAGAACAAAGCCGGAGCUGAAGGCAUCAUGUUAUCCAACUCCAAACUAUACUACAAGGCUACAGUAACCAAAACAGCAUGGUACUGGUACAAGAACAAACAUGUAGGCCAAUGGAAUUGAAUAAGAAAUGCAGAAAUAACACUGCACUUCCACAAUCAUCUGAUCUUCCAAAAACCUGACAAAAACAAGCAAUGGGGAAAGGAUAUCCUGUAUAAUAAAUGGUGCUGAGAGAACUGGUUACCCAUAUGUAGAAAAUUAAAACUGUACCCAUUCUUUACACCUUAUACAAAAAUGAACUCAAGAUGAAGUAAAUAUUUAAAUGUAAAACCCCAAACUACAAAAUCCCCAUAAGAAAAUCUAGGCAAUACCAUUCAGGACAUAGGCACAGGCAAAGAUUUCAUGACAAAAAAAGCCAAAAUUGAUUGCAACAAAAGCAAAAAUUGACAAAUGGGAUGUAAUUAAAUGAGCUUCUGCACAAGAAAAGAAAUUAUUAUCAGAGUGAACUGACAUCCCACAGAAUCAGAGAAAAAUGUUGCAAUCUAUCCAUCUGACAAAGGUUUAAUACCCCGAGUCUACAAGGAACUUAAAUAAAUUUACAAGGAAAAACAACCCCAUUAAAAAGUGGGCAAAGUACAUAAACAGACACACCUCAAAAGAAGACAUUUAUGAAGCCAAUAAACAUAUGAAACAAAGCUCAACAUCACAGAUCGUUAGAGAAAUGCAAAUCAAAACCACAAUGAGAUAGCAUAUCAUGCCAGUCAGAAUGGCAAUUAUUAAAAAGUUGAGAAACAACAGAUGCUGUUGAGGCUUUGGAGAAAAAGGGAUGCUUUUACACUGUUGGUAGGAGUGUAAAUUAGUUCAAACAUUGUGGAAGACAGUGUGGCAAUUCCUCAACGAUCUAAAACCAGAAAUACCAUUUGACCCAGUAAGCCCAUUACUGGGUAUAUACCCAAAGGAAUAUUAUAUUCUAUUAUAAAGAUAUAUGCAUCCAUAUGUUUAUUGAAGCUUUAUUCACAUCAGGAAAGACAUGAUAUCAACCUAAAUGCUCAUCAAUGAUAGACUGGAUAAAAGAAAAUGUGGUAAAUAUACAUCAUGGAAUACUAAGAAGCCAUAAAAACGAAGAAGAUCAUGUCCUUUGCAGGGACAUAGUUGGAGAUGGAAGCCAUUAUCCUCAGCAAACUAACACAGGAGCAGAAAACCAAAUACUGUAUGUUCUGACUUACAAGUAGGAGCGGAAAGAUGAGAACACAUGGACAGAUGAGGGUGAACCACACACACUGGGGCCUGCUGGGGCAGGGCUGGGAGGAGGGAGAGGAUCAGGAAGAAUAGCUAAUGGAUGCUUGCUGUAAUACCUAGGCGAUGGGAUGAUCUGUGCAGCAAACCACCGUGGCACAUGUUUACCUAUGUAUCAAACCUGCACAUCCUGCACAUAUACACUUGAGCUUAUAAUAAAUGUUGAAGAUUAAAAAAAAUUAUGAUUGUUAAAUCAGAGGAAGUAUGUACUUAGGUAUUACAAGUAGUCGUGUUGUCCAGGAUGAAGCAGAGAGACAGAGAAUGAGAGACAGAGAGAGAGAGAAAGAAAUGGAGAAACUAUAUACAUUUGCAUACAAGUCUUAGUGUGGAUAUAGUUUUCAUUUCCCUUAGGUAGAUAUGUAGGAGUAAAAUCCAAGGGUCAUUUGAUGAGCCUUAAUCUUUUAAUAUAUUCAAAAAUCGUUUUAUGUUUAUAGUGACUGCAUUAAUUUUCAAUGUAUGAAGGUUUCAGUUGCUUUACAUUCUCAUUAAUUCUUGAAGUUGUCAAUCUUUUACAAUUUUAGCAGGCAGUAGAUUUGUAGUGGUUUCUUACUGUGUUGUUAAGUUGUAUUUACCUAAUGGAGGCAGUGUUUACAAUAUCUUAGAAGCAUAUUAGCAUUCGUAUAUCUUGUUUUGUAAAAUACCUAUUCAAAUUGCUCAUUUAAAAUUGUAUUAUUUGUCUUACUGCAUUGUGGGAGUUCUUUAUAUAUUUUGAGUAGAUUUUUAUAUCAGAUAUAUGACUUAAAAAUAUUUCUUUGAAACUGGGCAUUCUCUUCAUUUUCUUAAUGGUGUUAUUGGAUGAGCAAAAAAAUUUGAUGUUUAUAUUUUCCUUUAAGUUUUGUUUGUUUUGUGUCCUAUCAAUUCUAUCAAAGAAAUUUUUGCUAACUCUAAGUCACACAUAUUUUUUUCAAAGUUUUUUUUUAGGAGUUUCUUGAUUUUAGCUCUAAUAUGCAAAUCCACUAUCAAUUUGUGAUUAGAUAUGACACUGUAGGAGUGAAGGAUUUUUUUUUCCUAGAUUGGUAUCUUGUAUUUCAACAUCAUUUGCUGGAAAGACUUAACUUUUCCCAGUGAAUUACCUUAGCAGUUUAAUAGCCAUGAAUUGAAACCAUAUAUACAUGUGGGUCAGCAUAUGGAAGCUCGUUUAUAUUUUAUUGAAGUUGUGAAAGGAAAAUAAAUCUUGGGACCCCCUAAUCACUAAGCCAAAGGGAAAAAACAAACUGGGAACUGAAUCAGGCAAAUCUGCUCCCAUUUUAUUUCUAAUAAGAUACCUACAAAGAUAAAAAAGCUGCAUACUUCCCUCACAAUUUGCCUACAGGAAUUUCUUUGCCGGCUACAAGAUCUCUAUCCUAAAACAUUUCUGUUGAAUUUCACCUUGGCAAUGUAUGUUGAUAGCUUGUCUUCACAGGUUCAGGACAAAGGACAGAAUUCAGUCAUCCCCCUGUUCACCAGAGACAAACGCGUAUCUUAUUGCUUCCUCUGUCCUAUUGUUUAUGUGAAAAUGGAGAUUCACUGAACCAGUCUAAGGCAAAAGUGAUUAUUCCUUUACCCCAGAAUCAUGUGGAAAUUGUGUAUUUAGUUAAAGCCUGAUCUAAGACUCAAAAUAAUGCAACUCUUUGUCUCUUAGCUAUCUAUGACCAGGAAGCUCCUCUCCCUUACCCCUCCUUCAAGUUAUUCCACCUUUCCGGAAAGAAGCAAUGUACAUCUUACACAUAUUGAUUGAUGUCUCAUGUCUCUAUAAAAUGUAUAAAACCAAGCUUUACCCCGAUCACCUUGGGCACCUGUCAUCAGAACCUCCUGAGGCUAUGUCAUGGAUGCAUCCUUAACCUUGACAAAAUAAACUUUCUAAAUUUAUUGGGGCCUGUCUCAGAUACUUUUUGGUACACAACUUAUAUGUUUAUGCUUAGGUAAUUAUCAUACUCUCAAG
Molecule: long non-coding RNA, 5432 nt
Filed under: Homo sapiens (human)
Lineage: Eukaryota; Metazoa; Chordata; Mammalia; Primates; Hominidae
Description: HSALNT0063687
Source: RNAcentral